RNAcentral lists this ribosomal RNA (271 nucleotides) under uncultured bacterium. RNAcentral describes it as "partial 16S ribosomal RNA". It matches the Rfam family "Bacterial small subunit ribosomal RNA", at positions 524 to 794 of the family's 1533-position model. The record is from RNAcentral.
UACGGAGGGUGCAAGCGUUAUCCGGAUUCACUGGGUUUAAAGGGUGCGUAGGCGGGCAGGUAAGUCCGUGGUGAAAUCUCUGAGCUUAACUCAGAAACUGCCAUGGAUACUAUUUGUCUUGAAUAUUGUGGAGGUAAGCGGAAUAUGUCAUGUAGCGGUGAAAUGCUUAGAUAUGACAUAGAACACCAAUUGCGAAGGCAGCUUACUACACAGUUAUUGACGCUGAGACGAGAACGUGGGGAGCGAAACAGGAUUAGAACUCCCAGUCAGU